This 86-nucleotide small nucleolar RNA is filed under the name Olea europaea subsp. europaea. Lineage: Eukaryota; Viridiplantae; Streptophyta; Magnoliopsida; Lamiales; Oleaceae. The record is from RNAcentral.
UACAAUCUAUGAUGAAGCCAUAUAAUAGAUACUGACUUUCCCGUGAUUAUCUCCAAAAUAUUCACCAUCUUUCGGCUGAGAUUGUU